CCUACGGGAGGCAGCAGUGGGGAAUUUUGGACAAUGGGGGCAACCCUGAUCCAGCCAUUCCGCGUGAGUGAAGAAGGCCUUCGGGUUGUAAAGCUCUUUCGCAAGGGAAGAAAACUUAUGAUCGAAUAAAUCAUGAGGUUGACGGUACCUUGAUAAGAAGCACCGGCUAACUACGUGCCAGCAGCCGCGGUAAUACGUAGGGUGCGAGCGUUAAUCGGAAUUACUGGGCGUAAAGCGUGCGCAGGCGGUUUUGUAAGUCGGAUGUGAAAUCCCCGGGCUCAACCUGGGAACUGCGUUCGAAACUGCAAGGCUAGAGUGUGUCAGAGGGGGGUUAGAAUUCCACGUGUAGCAGUGAAAUGCGUAGAGAUGUGGAGGAAUACCAAUGGCGAAGGCAGCCCCCUGGGAUAACACUGACGCUCAUGCACGAAAGCGUGGGGAGCAAACAGGAUUAGAUACCCUGGUAGUCCACGCCCUAAACGAUGUCAACUAGUUGUUGGUAGAGUAAAACUCUAUGAGUAACCGUAGCUAACGCGUGAAGUUGACCGCCUGGGGGUAGGUACGGUCGCGAGAAGUUAAACGUUAAACGUUAAGUAAGUUAGUACGGUCGUGAGACGUAGCCGACGGACGACCGACGAGGGAGGUUAGGAG
Molecule: ribosomal RNA, 648 nt
Filed under: uncultured bacterium
Lineage: Bacteria
Description: bacterial SSU rRNA
Rfam family: Bacterial small subunit ribosomal RNA (bases 1-547)
Source: RNAcentral